AAGCAGCAUAGAGGCACAAAGUAA
This 24-nucleotide unclassified non-coding RNA is filed under the name Mus musculus (house mouse). Its description in RNAcentral is "oocyte_clustered_small_RNA1755". Lineage: Eukaryota; Metazoa; Chordata; Mammalia; Rodentia; Muridae. The record is from RNAcentral.